Molecule: long non-coding RNA, 545 nt
Organism: Herpailurus yagouaroundi (jaguarundi)
Lineage: Eukaryota; Metazoa; Chordata; Mammalia; Carnivora; Felidae
Exons: 2
Source: RefSeq, a predicted model, not a curated record
GCAUCGUUUGGAGAGUCCAGUGUGUGGUGGUCGUGAAGGAGCCCAGCAGCUUUGUUGUCGUUGCCUCUGUUCUUCAGGUUAUAACAGCUUGGGAGGCAAGGACUGGAAAAUGACAAAAUGAGUUUUAACUCCCUACCUCUUUGAAUACUAUUUAACCAAAAAGUGAAUUGCAGCAAAGCAAAAUGCUUUCCUGUUUUCAAAUUUGCAGGCCUCCUACCAUCCAGGGAAGUCAAUUUCAUCAGCACGAUGGGAAAACACCAAGUCCUUUUCAAAUGGAAUCAUCCUCUCUGAAACCAAAGUUCCACAGAAGCAAAUUACCAGCUGGCGCCGGUGCGGGAUUCAAGAUGAGGAUCCUACUUUGUGUUUCGGCCACCCCCUCAUCAUUUCUAAGCCACCGACCCACAGAAGCCACCUGAUCUGCUUCUCAUCCGAGUCUCUUCGAGGGUGGGAGGGUAAUGGCCAGGAACACAGAGAGCACACAGCCCCUGCACAUCUGUAAAAGGAGCAUCCAGCCUGGGCCUGGAAUAAACUGUUCUUUGCGGAAA